RNAcentral lists this ribosomal RNA (710 nucleotides) under Pseudomonas mosselii. RNAcentral describes it as "bacterial SSU rRNA". It matches the Rfam family "Bacterial small subunit ribosomal RNA", at positions 63 to 768 of the family's 1533-position model. The record is from RNAcentral. Lineage: Bacteria; Pseudomonadati; Pseudomonadota; Gammaproteobacteria; Pseudomonadales; Pseudomonadaceae.
CGAGCGGAUGACGGGAGCUUGCUCCUUGAUUCAGCGGCGGACGGGUGAGUAAUGCCUAGGAAUCUGCCUGGUAGUGGGGGACAACGUUUCGAAAGGAACGCUAAUACCGCAUACGUCCUACGGGAGAAAGCAGGGGACCUUCGGGCCUUGCGCUAUCAGAUGAGCCUAGGUCGGAUUAGCUAGUAGGUGAGGUAAUGGCUCACCUAGGCGACGAUCCGUAACUGGUCUGAGAGGAUGAUCAGUCACACUGGAACUGAGACACGGUCCAGACUCCUACGGGAGGCAGCAGUGGGGAAUAUUGGACAAUGGGCGAAAGCCUGAUCCAGCCAUGCCGCGUGUGUGAAGAAGGUCUUCGGAUUGUAAAGCACUUUAAGUUGGGAGGAAGGGCAGUAAGCUAAUACCUUGCUGUUUUGACGUUACCGACAGAAUAAGCACCGGCUAACUCUGUGCCAGCAGCCGCGGUGAGACAGAGGGUGCAAGCGUUAAUCGGAAUUACUGGGCGUAAAGCGCGCGUAGGUGGUUCGUUAAGUUGGAUGUGAAAGCCCCGGGCUCAACCUGGGAACUGCAUCCAAAACUGGCGAGCUAGAGUAUGGUAGAGGGUGGUGGAAUUUCCUGUGUAGCGGUGAAAUGCGUAGAUAUAGGAAGGAACACCAGUGGCGAAAGCGACCACCUGGACUGAUACUGACACUGAGGUGCGAAAGCGUGGGGAG